This 459-nucleotide ribosomal RNA is filed under the name uncultured bacterium. RNAcentral describes it as "partial 16S ribosomal RNA". It matches the Rfam family "Bacterial small subunit ribosomal RNA", at positions 338 to 795 of the family's 1533-position model. The record is from RNAcentral.
CCUACGGGGGGCAGCAGUGAGGAAUAUUGGUCAAUGGCCGCAGGGCUGAACCAGCCAAGUCGCGUGAGGGAUGACGGUCCUAUGGAUUGUAAACCUCUUUUGUCAGGGAGCAAAGGGCGCCACGUGUGGCGCUUUGCGAGUACCUGAAGAAAAAGCAUCGGCUAACUCCGUGCCAGCAGCCGCGGUAAUACGGAGGAUGCGAGCGUUAUCCGGAUUUAUUGGGUUUAAAGGGUGCGCAGGCGGAAUGUCAAGUCAGCGGUAAAAUUUCGGGGCUCAACCCCGUCGUGCCGUUGAAACUGGCGUUCUUGAGUGAGCGAGAAGUAUGCGGAAUGCGUGGUGGAGCGGUGAAAUGCAUAGAUAUCACGCAGAACUCCGAUUGCGAAGGCAGCAUACCGGCGCUCAACUGACGCUCAUGCACGAAAGCGUGGGUAUCGAACAGGAUUAGAUACCCCAGUAGUC